CACAUGGCCUUCCCGUGUGAAUUUCAAGAAGUGUUAAAUUGAAGGAAUGUGUCACAUGGGAAGCACAAGCCCGUGUGGGCUUCCCGUGUGAGUUGCAAAAAAUGGCAGUUUAUUCAAGGCACAACACGACAAUAGGACAUGCCCGUAUGAUCUUCCCGUGUGAUCCAAUGGAUUGUUUCAAGAGUAAUUUUGAGGUAAAGACGUAACACGACUAUGUGGUGUCCAUGUGGCUC
RNAcentral lists this long non-coding RNA (233 nucleotides) under Ricinus communis (castor bean). Its description in RNAcentral is "long non-coding RNA (RCOM_LNC000630)". Lineage: Eukaryota; Viridiplantae; Streptophyta; Magnoliopsida; Malpighiales; Euphorbiaceae. The record is from RNAcentral.